Molecule: long non-coding RNA, 535 nt
Filed under: Mytilus galloprovincialis (Mediterranean mussel)
Lineage: Eukaryota; Metazoa; Mollusca; Bivalvia; Mytilida; Mytilidae
Source: RNAcentral
CAAAUUAAUAAAUGGUUUCGAUGGUACUAUUUUUAACGAUACGAUGAUUUGUGGAUUUCCUCGACAUUUAUGUAUUUGCCUAUAACCAAACAUACUUUUACAAAUUGUGACUGGUAUGAAAAAGUUGUCUCAUUGGCACUCAUACCACAUCUUCUUAGCCAAACGACCUAAAUAACCGAGUGACAUUUACUGGCCAACAUUAUGUCGUUAAAAACAGAUACAGCAUCGCCGUUUUUGCUGUGGUUUGUCUGUAUGCCUUUUCUUUUCUUCUUUGUUUACAUUUUUGUUUUAUAGUGAUAAGAAUUAAGAUUUUAACAUCAUUAAAACUCUAUUAUUGACAAAUUAUUUCUGUUUGUUUUUUUAACACAUUGUUAUAGAAUUUUACGCGACUGUUAUACAAACAAGAGGUUUAGCUAGCUAUAAAAUUAGGUUUAAACCACAAUUAUAUAAAUAUGGACUUUCUUUUCCGUUUAGAAUUUUUCUCGGAGUUGGAUAUUUUUGUUAUUUUACUUUUUAUACAAUAUAUCGUGCUCUA